Molecule: transfer RNA, 81 nt
Filed under: Paragonimus westermani
Lineage: Eukaryota; Metazoa; Platyhelminthes; Trematoda; Plagiorchiida; Troglotrematidae
Description: tRNA-Asn
Rfam family: tRNA
About the family: Transfer RNA (tRNA) molecules are approximately 80 nucleotides in length. Their secondary structure includes four short double-helical elements and three loops (D, anti-codon, and T loops). Further hydrogen bonds mediate the characteristic L-shaped molecular structure. tRNAs have two regions of fundamental functional importance: the anti-codon, which is responsible for specific mRNA codon recognition, and the 3' end, to which the tRNAs corresponding amino acid is attached (by aminoacyl-tRNA synthetases). tRNAs cope with the degeneracy of the genetic code in two manners: having more than one tRNA (with a specific anti-codon) for a particular amino acid; and 'wobble' base-pairing, i.e. permitting non-standard base-pairing at the 3rd anti-codon position.
Source: RNAcentral
GGAUUCGUAGCUCAGGUGGUAGAGCGCAUGCCACGUUAAGGCAUGCUAUGUCUGUUGCUGGUUCGAAUCCAGCCGAAGUCC